Molecule: ribosomal RNA, 267 nt
Filed under: uncultured bacterium
Lineage: Bacteria
Description: partial 16S ribosomal RNA
Rfam family: Bacterial small subunit ribosomal RNA
Source: RNAcentral
CGGACCGGCGCACGGGUGAGUAACGCGUAUGCAACCUGCCCGUUUCAGCGGGAUAACCCGGAGAAAUCCGGCCUAAUACCGCAUGUGGCCGAGGGGAGGCAUCUUCUUUCGGCCAAAGGAGGCGACUCCGGAGACGGAUGGGCAUGCGUGACAUUAGCUAGUUGGCGGGGUAACGGCCCACCAAGGCGACGAUGUCUAGGGGUUCUGAGAGGAAGGUCCCCCACACUGGUACUGAGACACGGACCAGACUCCUACGGGAGGCAGCAG